AUUGAACGCUGGCGGCAUGCCUUACACAUGCAAGUCGAACGGUAACAGGUCUUCGGAUGCUGACGAGUGGCGAACGGGUGAGUAAUGCAUCGGAACGUGCCCAGUAGUGGGGGAUAGCCCGGCGAAAGCCGGAUUAAUACCGCAUACGACCUGAGGGUGAAAGGGGGGGAUCGCAAGACCUCUCGCUAUUGGAGCGGCCGAUGUCAGAUUAGCUAGUUGGUGGGGUAAAGGCCUACCAAGGCAACGAUCUGUAGUGGGUCUGAGAGGACGACCAGCCACACUAGGACUGAGACACGGCCCAGACUCCUACGGGAGGCAGCAGUGGGGAAUUUUGGACAAUGGGCGCAAGCCUGAUCCAGCAAUGCCGCGUGCAGGAAGAAGGCCUUCGGGUUGUAAACUGCUUUUGUCAGGGAAGAAAUCUUCUGGGUUAAUACCUCGGGAGGAUGACGGUACCUGAAGAAUAAGCACCGGCUAACUACGUGCCAGCAGCCGCCGUAA
Molecule: ribosomal RNA, 498 nt
Filed under: uncultured bacterium
Lineage: Bacteria
Description: partial 16S ribosomal RNA
Rfam family: Bacterial small subunit ribosomal RNA
Source: RNAcentral